This 492-nucleotide ribosomal RNA is filed under the name uncultured bacterium. RNAcentral's name for it is "partial 16S ribosomal RNA". It matches the Rfam family "Bacterial small subunit ribosomal RNA", at positions 29 to 507 of the family's 1533-position model. The record is from RNAcentral.
AGUGAACGCUGGCGGUAGGCCUAACACAUGCAAGUCGAACGGCAGCACAGUAAGAGCUUGCUCUUACGGGUGGCGAGUGGCGGACGGGUGAGGAAUACAUCGGAAUCUACUUUUUCGUGGGGGAUAAAGUAGGGAAACUUACGCUAAUACCGCAUACGACCUACGGGUGAAAGCAGGGGCUCUUCGGACCUUGCGCGAUUGAAUGAGCCGAUGUCGGAUUAGCUAGUUGGCGGGGUAAAGGCCCACCAAGGCGACGAUCCGUAGCUGGUCUGAGAGGAUGAUCAGCCACACUGGAACUGAGACACGGUCCAGACUCCUACGGGAGGCAGCAGUGGGGAAUAUUGGACAAUGGGCGCAAGCCUGAUCCAGCCAUACCGCGUGAGUGAAGAAGGCCUUCGGGUUGUAAAGCCCUUUUGUUGGGAAAGAAAAGCAGCAGGUUAAUACCCCGCUGUUCUGACGGUACCCAAAGAAUAAGCACCGGCUAACUUCGUG